Molecule: unclassified non-coding RNA, 332 nt
Filed under: soil metagenome
Description: partial contains 5.8S ribosomal RNA, internal transcribed spacer 2, and large subunit ribosomal RNA
Rfam family: 5.8S ribosomal RNA (bases 1-120)
Source: RNAcentral
GAUGAAGAACGCAGUAAAAUGCGAUAAGUAAUGUGAAUUGCAGAAUUCAGUGAAUCAUCGAAUCUUUGAACGCACAUUGCGCCCGCCAGUAUUCUGGCGGGCAUGCCUGUUCGAGCGUCAUUUCAACCCUCAAGCACAGCUUGGUGUUGGGACUCGCGUUAAUUCGCGUUCCCCAAAUUGAUUGGCGGUCACGUCGAGCUUCCAUAGCGUAGUAGUAAAACCCUCGUUACUGGUAAUCGUCGCGGCCACGCCGUUAAACCCCAACUUCUGAAUGUUGACCUCGGAUCAGGUAGGAAUACCCGCUGAACUUAAGCAUAUCAAUAAGCGGAGGA